CUCCCUUCUUCCUCUUCGUGCCUGCGCCGAUUCUGCCGAGCGAAGGAAAAUGAAGCACUAGCUUCGUCUCCGGCGGCCGACCGAAGGGGAUUUCGGCAAGCUCUUCUCGAAUUCGAGCUCCUCUCGUCAAGAAGGACCCGUGAGCACGAAGAGAGGCCACGAUCUCAAGAGACCCGAACCCUAGAAGUCUUCCUUCUUCGGUUGUUAGUCCAAGAACACGAAGGAUAAAGGAAAGGAAAAGAUAUAGCGACGGAAGGCGACAAAGUGGCGCAGAUGGUGUGUGAUGCCAGGACUAUGGGGGAGACUUGGGCAUUUUUAUGUUUUCGCAUUUUAGUGUAUAAGAAGCAUUUGAAGUUGUACUUUAAGAUCCAUGUCAUUUGAGAUUAUUUUUGUGUUAGAUUGCAUGCUAAUAUAAACUCAGUUUAGUAGGU
Long non-coding RNA from Zingiber officinale, 431 nucleotides. RefSeq lists it as uncharacterized. The transcript is spliced from 2 exons. NCBI's taxonomy places the organism in Eukaryota, Viridiplantae, Streptophyta, Magnoliopsida, Zingiberales, Zingiberaceae. The record is from RefSeq and is a predicted model, not a curated record.